AAUCAACGCUGGCGGCGUGCCUAACACAUGCAAGUCGAACGAGAAAGUGGAGCAAUCCAUGAGUAAAGUGGCGCACGGGUGAGUAACACGUGACUAACCUACCCUGGAGUGGGGGAUAACUGAGGGAAACCUUAGCUAAUACCGCAUAAUACCUACGGGUCAAAGGAGCAAUUCGCUUUAGGAGGGGGUCGCGGCAGAUUAGCUAGUUGGCGGGGUAAUGGCCCACCAAGGCAGUGAUCUGUAUCCGGCCUGAGAGGGCGCACGGACACACUGGAACUGAAACACGGUCCAGACUCCUACGGGAGGCAGCAGUGGGGAAUUUUGCGCAAUGGGGGAAACCCUGACGCAGCAACGCCGCGUGGAGGAUGAAGUCCCUUGGGACGUAACUCCUUUCGAUAGGGAAGAUAAUGACGGUACCUAUAGAAGAAG
This 429-nucleotide ribosomal RNA is filed under the name uncultured bacterium. RNAcentral describes it as "bacterial SSU rRNA". It matches the Rfam family "Bacterial small subunit ribosomal RNA", at positions 32 to 490 of the family's 1533-position model. The record is from RNAcentral.